Molecule: long non-coding RNA, 403 nt
Organism: Nerophis ophidion (straightnose pipefish)
Lineage: Eukaryota; Metazoa; Chordata; Actinopteri; Syngnathiformes; Syngnathidae
Exons: 4
Source: RefSeq, a predicted model, not a curated record
CCCUGGUAGGUUGCUCUGCGGCCAAUCAGAGGCGCUUCCUCCAGUCCUUCUCUUUGUAUGUAAAGCCGAACGCACGACGAACAAACCAGAUUAUUCUCUACAUAAACAACCCAAAAAAGAAAAGAUCAUGGGAAACGGCCCUUCCUCUGCUCCAACAGGAAUCCCAUCAGGUGUAAUGACGUUUGCAUCACCUGCUGGUGCGACAAUUGGUUAUCCCCACCCAAGCCCUACUCCUCUCAGCACUGAUAUCACACUCCCAUCAGGUCCACCACCAAGCGGUGGUCCACCACCAAGCGGUGGUCCACCACCGAUGAUGUAACCAAGGCUUUCUCCUUGAAGUCGUUGUGGUUUGUGAAGCUCUUUAUGGGCUAUAAUAAUAAAAUUGGAUUGAUUGAUGAACCUA